AGUGAACGCUGGCGGUAGGCCUAACACAUGCAAGUCGAACGGCAGCACAGUAAGAGCUUGCUCUUACGGGUGGCGAGUGGCGGACGGGUGAGGAAUACAUCGGAAUCUACUUUUUCGUGGGGGAUAACGUAGGGAAACUUACGCUAAUACCGCAUACGACCUACGGGUGAAAGCAGGGGAUCUUCGGACCUUGCGCGAUUGAAUGAGCCGAUGUCGGAUUAGCUAGUUGGCGGGGUAAAGGCCCACCAAGGCGACGAUCCGUAGCUGGUCUGAGAGGAUGAUCGGCCACACUGGAACUGAGACACGGUCCAGACUCCUACGGGAGGCAGCAGUGGGGAAUAUUGGACAAUGGGCGCAAGCCUGAUCCAGCCAUACCGCGUGGGUGAAGAAGGCCUUCGGGUUGCAAAGCCCUUUUGUUGGGAAAGAAAAGCAGCAGGUUAAUACCCCGCUGUUCUGACGGUACCCAAAGAAUAAGCACCGGCUAACUUCGUG
RNAcentral lists this ribosomal RNA (492 nucleotides) under uncultured bacterium. RNAcentral describes it as "partial 16S ribosomal RNA". It matches the Rfam family "Bacterial small subunit ribosomal RNA", at positions 29 to 507 of the family's 1533-position model. The record is from RNAcentral.